RNAcentral lists this ribosomal RNA (136 nucleotides) under uncultured bacterium. Its description in RNAcentral is "partial 16S ribosomal RNA". It matches the Rfam family "Bacterial small subunit ribosomal RNA", at positions 1363 to 1500 of the family's 1533-position model. The record is from RNAcentral.
UCAUUAGAUACCCGGGUAGUCCACACCGCCCGUCACACCAUGAGAGCCGAUAACACCCGAAGCCUGUGAGCUAACCGUAAGGGGGCAGCAGUCGAAGGUGGGGUUGGUGAUUGGGGUGAAGUCGUAACAAGGUAAC